GGGCUUGUAGCUCAGCUUGGAUAGAGCAGCGCCGUCCUAAGAAGGCGAAGGUCAUGAGUUCAAAUCUCAUCUAGCCCG
RNAcentral lists this transfer RNA (78 nucleotides) under Microcaldota archaeon. RNAcentral's name for it is "tRNA-Leu". It matches the Rfam family "tRNA". From Rfam's summary of the family: Transfer RNA (tRNA) molecules are approximately 80 nucleotides in length. Their secondary structure includes four short double-helical elements and three loops (D, anti-codon, and T loops). Further hydrogen bonds mediate the characteristic L-shaped molecular structure. tRNAs have two regions of fundamental functional importance: the anti-codon, which is responsible for specific mRNA codon recognition, and the 3' end, to which the tRNAs corresponding amino acid is attached (by aminoacyl-tRNA synthetases). tRNAs cope with the degeneracy of the genetic code in two manners: having more than one tRNA (with a specific anti-codon) for a particular amino acid; and 'wobble' base-pairing, i.e. permitting non-standard base-pairing at the 3rd anti-codon position. The record is from RNAcentral. Lineage: Archaea; Nanobdellati; Microcaldota.